Molecule: long non-coding RNA, 1074 nt
Organism: Zeugodacus cucurbitae (melon fly)
Lineage: Eukaryota; Metazoa; Arthropoda; Insecta; Diptera; Tephritidae
Exons: 2
Source: RefSeq, a predicted model, not a curated record
GGUUGGAAAUUUAUAUGUAAAUUCGUUUGAAUUGUUUUUGUAUAUUUUUUCCGAUUUUUUUUUGCAUUUGCUUUAGAAUUUGAAUAUAAAAAUAAUGAGAAAAUUGCUUGAAAGCUGCAAUACUAAAUCAUGAAAGAAAGUGGUGUAGGCAUCUUGGAAUACAAUUUUUCCUUUUUUUUUUUGUUUGGUAAAAACGCAUUUGACACUUAAACUUAGGCAUACCAAUUCUGUGGUGCUUUGUGGACGCUUCGGCAGUGUUUUGCAUUCCGGCGCGUGUAUUUCCAAAUCGCUGCGCGCACCUCAGAUCGGAUGAAAAGCGUUUCUUGCCAGAGAAAACUAUCGAACCAUUGCGAUUUUUGAUGGAACCACCUUGCGACAUCAUAUUCGAUAUAUCCUCCUCAGCGGAGAAGAACAUCUCGGAGGGAUUCUCCGAGGUCAGCGAUAUCGUGCGCUGCACUUCGCGCGUCAAAUGAUCAGCGCCGUUGGCGUGCGGUGUUUCGCUGUACUGCUGUGACUGCAUUGGCAAAUCGGCGAUUUCAUACUCAAGCGGAUGCGAAUGUGGUGCUGAGUGUGACAUUUCAUCGGGUAUCUGGAAAGCACAAGCAAAUAUUACAUAUGUCUUCAGAUGUAAACUAUUCAAAGCAGUCGUUCACCUCCAACUCAUCCUCCACAUCUGCUUCGCCGGUUAGACGCGAAUCGGAUAUGCUAGUUUUCGGUGGUGAAACUCGUAAUGUGUUGUUCUGCGAUUGCGAUUUCGCUGUGUCUGAGCCACGUCGGUAUGCCACCUGCAGCUGUGAUUCAUUCGAGUCCUGACGCAGCACUUUCUUCGACGGACUAUCCAAAAGACGCGCAUAUGGCACCUCGACAGAAGUUUGUCUGCUAAUUGAGGUAUAUUAGCGACCAACAAUUAUACACCACACUUGCUUACUCACCUAUUUGUGGUGUACGAGUAACGCUUAUUGCGACGCUCCAGCGUAUUUGGCGAACCAAUGCUCUCGCGAGAUUUGCGCCCACUAAUGUCUGAUAUUUCAAUGGCAUUGCCUAUCUUCAGCUUGCCACCCACUUCCUUGCUGC